CAUUACCGAACUGUCAACACGGGUUGUUGCUGGCCCUCGACUGGGGGCAUGUGCACGCUCUGUUUACACAUCCACUCACACCUGUGCACCCUCUGUAGUUCUAUGGUUUGGGAGGCCCUGCCUCCCUCCUGUAGCUCUACGUCUUUACACACACACACCGAUAGUAGAUGUCAUAUGGAAGUGUUUUUUUGCGUCUAACGCGAUACAAUACAACUUUCAGCAACGGAUCUCUUGGCUCUCGCAUCGAUGAAGAACGCAGCGAAAUGCGAUAAGUAAUGUGAAUUGCAGAAUUCAGUGAAUCAUCGAAUCUUUGAACGCACCUUGCGCCCCUCGGACAUUCCUUGGGGGCAUGCCUGUUUGAGUAUCAUGAACACCUCACCUCUCAUGGCUUGCCGUGAUGAGCUUGAACUCUGGAGGUUUGCUGGCCAUGUGGUCUGCUCCUCUCAAAUGAAUCANCUUGCCAGUGUUUGGUGGCAUCACGGGUGUGAUAACUAUCUACGCUCGUGGUCAUCUGCCAGGUAACCCUCANCAAUGGAGUUCACUGGGGCUCAAAAAUG
RNAcentral lists this ribosomal RNA (557 nucleotides) under uncultured Thelephoraceae. RNAcentral's name for it is "eukaryotic LSU rRNA". The stretch from base 212 to 367 matches the Rfam family "5.8S ribosomal RNA". The record is from RNAcentral. Lineage: Eukaryota; Fungi; Basidiomycota; Agaricomycetes; Thelephorales; Thelephoraceae.